UAAACUUCUUUUAUUAAGGACGAAAAAUGACGGUACUUAAUGAAUAAGCUCCGGCUAACUACGUGCCAGCAGCCGCGGUAAUACGUAGGGAGCAAGCGUUGUCCGGAUUUACUGGGUGUAAAGGGUGCGUAGGCGGCUUUGCAAGUCAGAUGUGAAAUCUAUGGGCUCAACCCAUAAACUGCAUUUGAAACUGUAGAGCUUGAGUGAAGUAGAGGCAGGCGGAAUUCCCCGUGUAGCGGUGAAAUGCGUAGAGAUGGGGAGGAACACCAGUGGCGAAGGCGGCCUGCUGGGCUUUAACUGACGCUGAGGCACGAAAGCGUGGGUAGCAAACAGGAUUAGAUACCCUGGUAGUCCACGCUGUAAACGAUGAUUACUAGGUGUGGGGGGUCUGACCCCUUCCGUGCCGGAGUUAACACAAUAAGUAAUCCACCUGGGGAGUACGGCCGCAAGGUUGAAACUCAAAGGAAUUGACGGGGGCCCGCACAAGCAGUGGAGUAUGUGGUUUAAUUCGAAGCAACGCGAAGAACCUU
This 530-nucleotide ribosomal RNA is filed under the name uncultured bacterium. Its description in RNAcentral is "bacterial SSU rRNA". It matches the Rfam family "Bacterial small subunit ribosomal RNA", at positions 426 to 972 of the family's 1533-position model. The record is from RNAcentral.